This 253-nucleotide ribosomal RNA is filed under the name uncultured bacterium. Its description in RNAcentral is "partial 16S ribosomal RNA". It matches the Rfam family "Bacterial small subunit ribosomal RNA", at positions 524 to 776 of the family's 1533-position model. The record is from RNAcentral.
UACGGAGGGUGCAAGCGUUGUCCGGAUUUAUUGGGUUUAAAGGGUACGUAGGCGGGUCUUUAAGUCCGUGGUGAAAGCCUGCAGCUUAACUGCAGAACUGCCAUGGAUACUGGAGAUCUUGAAUUCAGUUGAGGUAAGCGGAAUUUAUGAUGUAGCGGUGAAAUGCAUAGAUAUCAUAAAGAACACCUAUUGCGAAGGCAGCUUGCUGGACUUGGAUUGACGCUAAGGUACGAAAGCGUGGGGAGCGAACAGG